UUUAUGGAGAGUUUGAUCCUGGCUCAGGAUGAACGCUGGCGGCGUGCCUAAUACAUGCAAGUCGAGCGAACGGACGAGAAGCUUGCUUUUCUGAUGUUAGCGGCGGACGGGUGAGUAACACGUGGAUAACCUACCUAUAAGACUGGGAUAACUUCGGGAAACCGGAGCUAAUACCGGAUAAUAUUUUGAACCGCAUGGUUCAAAAGUGAAAGACGGUCUUGCUGUCACUUAUAGAUGGAUCCGCGCUGUAUUAGCUAGUUGGUAAGGUAACGGCUUACCAAGGCAACGAUGCAUAGCCGACCUGAGAGGGUGAUCGGCCACACUGGAACUGAGACACGGUCCAGACUCCUACGGGAGGCAGCAGUAGGGAAUCUUCCGCAAUGGGCGAAAGCCUGACGGAGCAACGCCGCGUGAGUGAUGAAGGUCUUCGGAUCGUAAAACUCUGUUAUUAGGGAAGAACAUAUGUGUAAGUAACUGUGCACAUCUUGACGGUACCUAAUCAGAAAGCCACGGCUAACUACGUGCCAGCAGCCGCGGUAAUACGUAGGUGGCAAGCGUUAUCCGGAAUUAUUGGGCGUAAAGCGCGCGUAGGCGGUUUUUUAAGUCUGAUGUGAAAGCCCACGGCUCAACCGUGGAGGGUCAUUGGAAACUGGAAAACUUGAGUGCAGAAGAGGAAAGUGGAAUUCCAUGUGUAGCGGUGAAAUGCGCAGAGAUAUGGAGGAACACCAGUGGCGAAGGCGACUUUCUGGUCUGUAACUGACGCUGAUGUGCGAAAGCGUGGGGAUCAAACAGGAUUAGAUACCCUGGUAGUCCACGCCGUAAACGAUGAGUGCUAAGUGUUAGGGGGUUUCCGCCCCUUAGUGCUGCAGCUAACGCAUUAAGCACUCCGCCUGGGGAGUACGACCGCAAGGUUGAAACUCAAAGGAAUUGACGGGGACCCGCACAAGCGGUGGAGCAUGUGGUUUAAUUCGAAGCAACGCGAAGAACCUUACCAAAUCUUGACAUCCUUUGACAACUCUAGAGAUAGAGCCUUCCCCUUCGGGGGACAAAGUGACAGGUGGUGCAUGGUUGUCGUCAGCUCGUGUCGUGAGAUGUUGGGUUAAGUCCCGCAACGAGCGCAACCCUUAAGCUUAGUUGCCAUCAUUAAGUUGGGCACUCUAAGUUGACUGCCGGUGACAAACCGGAGGAAGGUGGGGAUGACGUCAAAUCAUCAUGCCCCUUAUGAUUUGGGCUACACACGUGCUACAAUGGACAAUACAAAGGGCAGCGAAACCGCGAGGUCAAGCAAAUCCCAUAAAGUUGUUCUCAGUUCGGAUUGUAGUCUGCAACUCGACUACAUGAAGCUGGAAUCGCUAGUAAUCGUAGAUCAGCAUGCUACGGUGAAUACGUUCCCGGGUCUUGUACACACCGCCCGUCACACCACGAGAGUUUGUAACACCCGAAGCCGGUGGAGUAACCUUUUAGGAGCUAGCCGUCGAAGGUGGGACAAAUGAUUGGGGUGAAGUCGUAACAAGGUAGCCGUAUCGGAAGGUGCGGCUGGAUCACCUCCUUUCU
Molecule: ribosomal RNA, 1554 nt
Filed under: Staphylococcus aureus
Lineage: Bacteria; Bacillati; Bacillota; Bacilli; Caryophanales; Staphylococcaceae
Description: 16S ribosomal RNA
Rfam family: Bacterial small subunit ribosomal RNA
Source: RNAcentral